UUAUGCUUAUAAAACCGAACCCAACCCAACCCAACCCGCCACUAUUAAUUUUUUGUUUACCGCCAUUUCACUUCUCAGUCUCAGUCUCAGUCUCUGUUCUUCAUCUUCUUGUUUGUGUUUCUCUGAUUUAUUUUAUUUUUCUCUCCGAGUCUUUGAUUCAUCUGUGUUUUAAUAUGUUUUUCUCCGAGUCUACGUGUGUUCGUAUUUGUGAGUGUAAUUUUGUGCCUAGUUGUAUUUUUGAUUUUAAUUUUCCCUCCGAGUCUUGUGCUUCUGUCUCAGUAAUUGUUUGUGUUUCUCUGAUUUAUGGAUAUAUCUGUGUUUGUUUACUCCGCUUUUAUAUUUUCAUUUCAUUUUUCUCUCUGAGUCUUUGAUUCUUUUUUUUCCUAUGUGUUAGGGCUUCAUCUAUGUGUGUUUGUAUUUGUGUAUAUAUUUAUGAGUGUAAUUUUGUGUCUCUGUAUUUGUGUUUGGAUUUGUGAGUGUAAUUUUGUGUCUCAGUAUUUGUGAGUGUAAUUUAGUUUGUGAUUGUGUGUUUGUGAUUUUGUGUCUGUAUGAUGAGUGCGAAGGUUGUUCGUGUUAGUCAUUUUUGUUUUUAAUUUUUUUACAUGUGUGUGAAUUUUUAGUUUCUUUGGGUGUUCGUUUUUGUAUUUUUGUGUCUCAGUGUUUGUUGUCUAUAUUUGUGAAUGAUUUUGCCGUGAGUAAUUUUUCUUUUUCUUUUUCUUUUCUCUUUUGAGUGGGUUUGUGUGCCUAGUUGUGUUUUUGCUUUUUUUUCUGUGUUCGUGAACGUUCAAUUCUUCUGGGAUUGUUUUUAUGAGCUUUGGGUAUUUAGUAAGAAUAGUAUUGGAAUGAUGAGUGACCAAACGUCCUGAGUGUGGUGGUUGAAAGGAUUGAUGAUAAAGACUAGGAGAAGAAGAAAAAUAAGCGCCGAUCUAAGCAAGAAUCUCCUAGUUUAGUGAAUGGAGGACGAGAGUUGUCACAGUCAUGUGGAAAUGGAGGCAAUAAAACAAAGAAUUAUAUAUUUAUGAGUGCAACUUCUCAUCUAGGCAGCCAGAUUUUGACGAUUUCAGUUCCCUGCCAGCUAUGCAUAUAAAUGGCCAUGUUGAACACCUCAUCUCAGGUUAUUGUUGAAAGGUGAUGUGUUUAAAACAGUUUUCCGUGUUAAUGCUCACAAGAGAAAUGAGGCAUACUGUAAAAUUGAGGUUGUAUCUACAGAUGUGUUCGUUAGUGGACUUGCUGCACAAAACAGAGCUGUGGAAGGGGACGUAGUGGUUAUCUAGGUUGAUCCAUUGGUAGGCUGGAAUACGAUGAAAGGGUCAAAUGGUCUAUCCGAUAAUAGGUCACUCGCAGAAGCUUGCAGUGCAGCAGCAAAAUCCAGUGAAAUAGCUAGUGGAAGCUGCAAGGGUAUAAAGUGGACAUUGACAAUGAGUAUAGUGGCUCUGGAAGUUCCUCUGUUCAGAAGGGAAAUCAUUAUGAGGAUUGUUCAUUACCUUAUAAAACCAAACCCGCCACUAUUAUUUUUUUUGUUUACCCGCCAUUUCAUUUCUCAGUCUCAGUCUCUAUUUUUGAUCUUCUUGUUUGUGUUUCUCUGAUUUAUGGAUUUUUCUAUAUAUCUGUGUUUGUUUGCUCUGUUUUUUAUAUUUUGAUUUUGUUUUCCUCUCUGAGUGUUUUUCUAUGUGUUUGUGCUUCUUCUAUGUUCUCAAUGUGUGUAUGUAUUUGUGAGUGUAAUUUUGUGAUUUUGUUACUUUAGUUUGUGGUUGUUUUUCUUUAGGUCAUUAACUUUUGUAAUUUUGUGUAUUUUGUGACUUUUAGUUUGAUCUGUUUUCAUAUUUUGAUUUCGUUGUUUUCUCUGAUUGUAUUUUACGUUUCUUUGAUUCUGUGUUUUUCUAUGUGUUUGUGCUUUUCUAUGUUCUCAAUGUGUGUUUGUAUUUGUGUAUAUCUUUGUGAGUGUAAUUUCAUGUCUCUGUGUUUAUGAUUUUCAGAUUUUGUGUAUUUUGGUUUGUGGGUGUCUUAUUUGUAAGUGUAUUUGUGUGCGAAUAAUUUUUGCUUCUAGGUAGGUAUUGUUUUUUUGUCUAGUUUUGUCUUGGUGUUUGUGAUUUUGUGUCUUCAGUUUGUUGGUAUCUUCUUUUUAAGUGUAUUUCUGUGAAUGAUUUUUGUUCCUGAUUUUCUGUCUUUUAGUAUGUUCAUUACCUUAUGCAUAGCAAGGAGAAUGAAAGAAACCCGCUUGCUUCCAUGGCUGUAUUUUAUUCUCAGUACAUCCAACGGGGUAUUUGUAGAGUUGAUAUGCCAGCACGUCUAAACACUUGCAUAGUGAUGUAUUUUUUCUUGAUUUAUUUUUGUAUAGUUGUCCUAAUGGCACGACUUUGCUAUUUAUUCUACAUUUCAGGUUGACCCUGUUUCAGGAUGAAAAUUUUAUUGUCUCCUCUCUGCCCUUGCUGAUGGGUCUUGAUAGUGGGAUUGAGAGUUUCAAAUUUAUCUCUGUGCGAUACUAGUUCAUUACGUACUGCAAAGAAAGAAAGCUCUUAAGGACAUGACUGCUUAUCUUACAAAGGAAAUCUUGUUUUUAUUUACUAAUUCUUGAUGCUGGUCAUGAUGGGAUGCAUGUGGUUUCACAAAGCAAUUUGAGGGACCUGUUGCUGCAAUGUUCCGCAGACGAUGCUUCUGAUGAUCGACAAAGUGCUUUUGCACUGCUUGGCGACCUUGCAAGGGUGUAUGUCACUGGCAGAACUCAAGCGUGGUGUAUGUUUGCGCCCUCAAUUGGCCAUAUUUCUUGAUGUUGCAGCCAAACAACUGAGCACACUUAAGCUCAAGGGAACUGUAUCUGUUACAAACAAUGCUUGUUGUGCUACUGGUGAAAUUAGCAGUCAAGGUUCAUCAAGAAGUUUUUCUCAAUUGUUAUGACUCUUAUAUCAAGUUUAGUAUCAAUCCUUCAACACCCAGAGGACCUCAACAAAUCACUAAAUAGAAAAUAGUGCAUUCACUUUUGGGAGGCUUGUAUUGGUGUCCUGAGAUUACAUCACCUCAUAUGGAGCAUUUCAUACAAUCAUAGUGUAUGCUUUGUCUACGAUUCGUGAUGAUAUUGAAUAGGAGGAUGAUAUUCUUAAGUUGAAAUUCUUAAGUUGCUUGGUGCAUUAUGUGUUCACAAAGAUCGAUAAAUCAGGAAUCUACCAACUGUUUGGAGAUAUGUGGGAGAUUGAAAAUGGGUUUGCCUGUAUCUAUAACUUUGAGAUUUAAUUAUUUUUUUGAUUUUUGAUUAUUGGGUAUUGGGUAUUGUGUCUCUACUUGUUUUUGUUUAAUGGUUAUAUGACUUUCCAGGAUUCCAUUAUAUGGUGGAGCAAUAUAAAAAAGUAGGUUUCUUCUUAAGAACAGUAUUUUCCAUCUCAGUUGAUCAUGUGAAGAAUGGUAUAUACUUGUUAAGUUGGAUCUUGAAUCGGAUGAUAUACGAGAUCAUCUUGCAAAAUUUGCCGAGUCUUUAAAUAAAGCAAGAACUGUGAAAUAAUCUCCAGUAAAUAAAUCAUCAAAAUUUGGUAAUAUUUUACCUGGAUUAGGGGAGAUUGUGGAUAAAGAACAUAAGAAAUUUCUUGCUGGUAAUUAUUGACAAGAGGUAGGAAGAACAAGAACGCCAAUUACUGGAAAUGGAUCGGGAGGAGUUGUCAAAGAGGCGGAGCAAAAGAGGCAUGCUUUUGAACUUGAGCAAAGGAAGACGAAGCAAAAUCCUUUAAGAAAUAAAGCAGUGAGAGAGAAAUAUUAUAGGCAUUGCUAGAGGGAAGAAGAGGCAUCUUCACUGAUUGAUACUGCCUUUCAACGUCGAUUAGUGGAAAAGACAUGAACUUGAGCAGCAACUAGAGAAUGAACUGAGACAAUGUCAUGAUGGGGACCUCAAAAAGAAGAAUAAGGUGUCUCAGAUGCUUGACAAUAGGAUAAUUUUCCAAGAAAGAGUGGUAGGAUAGUUCAGAAAGAAUAAAUUAGAUCAUCCCGGAAGUAAGACAGGGAGUCAAGAGAGAGAAUUUAUUAUGAGAAGUGUGAAGAGGAGACUCAGAAACUUGCAUAGGGGGAAUCCGGGAAGCAUGAAGAGGCUGAGAGAUUAAGGAAUGUAGAAGCAGAACACACAGAAAAAUUAGAAGCAAAGAGAGGGAGUUAUAGAUUGAGAAGAAAAAAGGAGAUUAACUGAUGCCCCUUCUAGGCCUUUAGAUCUUCAUGCUCUGUCAUUUUCACAUAGAAGAUAAGUCAGUUUGUCAUUUCCAUUUUUAAAACAAUAGUUUAAGUUAUGUUCUUAAUUAAGCAUUAGUAAUCAGGUAUUUCUAACUCGCGUGUGCUCUUUACUUGGUGUAGAAUGGGCACUAUAUGAAUAGGUGGUAAUUGCAGCUAUGGACUGCCAAUCUCUUGAUGUUGCAAAGUUAUUACAUUCAAUUGCUUUAACAAGUGUCUUCAGAAGCAGAAUUACCCUUUGAGUCUUGGUCAGAUAAAGCUGUUGUUGAACCAUCCUUUUAUGAUCAUGCAAUCCCAAGCAAAGAGUGCCUCUUGCCACAUCAUGGAGUGUUCAGCUUCCAAGAUAUGAAAUGUUCAUAUUUAUUUUUCACAAACUUGUCAGAUUCGUAUAUGCUGCUUUGCAAAGACUUCUAGAAUUGACACCUAUAUGAAGCAGCUGCAAUUCAGAUCCUAAGUUUUAUGUUCAGUAUCAGGCAACCAAGAGGACCAGAUAGAGGACUCCUGGCUUCUUGCUCUCCUGUGGCUCAAGGUUGGUGGGUCAGGUGGCGAGGACCCAGAAAUUGUUUUAUGUUAGGUCUGUUUUGGAUUCUUUGGAAACAAAGAGUUUCUGAUGUGAUUCUCAAUGGGUUGUUUCCACUAGAACCAGAGCAUAAUAGAGGACCAAAACUAAAAGUGACUAUUAUUGGAGGUGGUCUUAUCGGGAUGUCAACUGCAGUGGAGCUAUUGGAUCAAGGUCGUGAGAACUCCAGAGGUAGUGUGGAACAUGGGAUUUUGUGUCUUUUUUUAUUGCUACAAUAAUCUUUUCCGGUUUUGAAGAAGGUGGGUGCAGAUAAGAAUUUACUUGCGAAGGAACACACUCACACAUUUGUGAAUAAGAGCUUGAUUUUCGUUUUCCAAUAGGAGCUCCAUUACAUGUGAUCCAUCCUUUUCCAACUACAAAUCAGCUUAAGUUUGUAGUUCCUUGUCCACUGCAAUACUCACGGUUCCUUUCUCUUGAAUGCCGUUCAAGUGCAGACAUGAUAGAGCAAGAAAUGUUUUGGCUCUUGCGUUAAGCCCAGUUGUAAAGGCCCUAGUUGAUCCAGAUGGAGCAUUGAAGGACUAUACGGGAUUUAGAUCGCACAUAUGAUAAAGCAAGAAAUGCUUUGGCUCUUGCGUUAAGCCCAGUUGUAAAGGCCCUAGUUGAUCCAGAUGGAGCAUUGAAGGACUAUACGGGAUUUAGAUUGCAUCAGCUUCUCCGACUGGUUUUUGUGUAAAGAUGGUACACGUGCUAGUAUUCAGAGAAUAGGCCUCUUUACUACGCAUGCUCAAGGGUUCUCCAGAUGUAUAUCUGAGCGGUCCCAUUAGAAAAUAUAUUGAAGAUAAAGGAGGCAGGU
This is a long non-coding RNA of Mercurialis annua (annual mercury), 5576 nucleotides long. RefSeq lists it as uncharacterized. The record is from RefSeq and is a predicted model, not a curated record. NCBI's taxonomy places the organism in Eukaryota, Viridiplantae, Streptophyta, Magnoliopsida, Malpighiales, Euphorbiaceae. The transcript has 24 exons.